Molecule: long non-coding RNA, 1430 nt
Filed under: Piliocolobus tephrosceles (Ugandan red Colobus)
Lineage: Eukaryota; Metazoa; Chordata; Mammalia; Primates; Cercopithecidae
Description: lncRNA (ENSPTEG00000008546.1)
Source: RNAcentral
AACAAAUGUAAAUUACAUAGUUCAAACAUGUUCAUAGUACUUUUCUCAUCAUAUAUAAAAUGUUUUUUCUUUAUGUGAAUACUUCUACUAACGAACUUUUUCUUGGUUCUAAAUUAUUUACUUUUUUUUUUUUUUUUUUUUAUAAAAUGUUUUUUUUUUUUUUUUUUUUUAAGCAUUGCUUUGGUAAGUACAUUUUUGCAUUGUAACAUGUUAUGUCAUUAACUUAAAAUUUAAUUUUAUUAAGAAAAUUAAUUUAAUUGUAUUACUAUAAAAUCUAUAGUAUUAAAAGCGUAUAAGUUCAAAUAUAACUAAAAAAAAAAAUGCAUCAAUGUGGCAUAGUAUAAAAUUGUUUAAAAUAUCCACUUGUAACGCGUAAAACUAUUCAAAAACCUUUUUUAACAUCGUUAUUAUAUAGUAAUGUGUAAACAAAUGUUUACCAUAAUUUAUAAAAUAAUUAUUGUUUUCUUUUUUGUAUGGACAUGGACCAACAACAGUAAGGCUAUCAAAGAAAAUAUACUAACAGCAAAAUAUAGUAGAGCACUAGCUCAACAUAAUAUAUCUUCAAACGAACGGAAUCACCAUUCUUAUGGAGCACAUAAUGACAAUAACCACUUUUAUAAACAGUGUGAACAAUGUAUGAUUAGUAAUAAUAAUCCAAAUAAGAAUAUUCCAAAUGGUGAACAUUGUCAAAAUAUAUCAAUUUAUUUAACCGAUAUUAAAAAAGAAUUAAUUCAAGUGUUAGCUAACCGAAAUGACCCUCAAAUAAAUAAUAUACUAAUAAAAAAUAAGAACUUACAAGAAAAGGACCUUAUAAAAAUAUAUGAUCGUAUUAAACAUGUCAUGUCAAGUGAAGAAUAUUUACAAAUUAUAAAACAAAGUUGUGAGUUAUUGAAAAAUAGGAGUCCUAAUAAUAAUGGUCAUGCUGAAACAUACUACAAAUCGAUGUUGUACUUACUCAAUACAUAUUUCUUUCUUACUAACAGUAAAAAAGAUUUUAAACAACGCUUUAUACAAUUACAACAAGAUAACUGCGAAAAACCAAUAUUUAAAAAAAAAAAAUUUAAAGCGAAAUAUUUAAAUAUAUUUAAACUUAGUAAAAAAAUAGAUAAACAAUUUAGGAAUAUGUUACUCGAACUAAGGAUAAAAGAGGAAAUAGAUCCAAAUGUAAACUUGUCACUUAUAAAAGAGAGUAAGCUACUUAAUUAUGCAUUAUUUUAUGUUUUGAUGAGUUCUGUAUACUUUUUUGUACUUGCAUGUUUUGGAUGUGGUCCCCUCAUAUUUCCAUUAAUAGGUCUGUAUUUAUGCGCAUGUAUACACUCUAUGUAUAAAAUUACUAAAGACAUAGAUUCUAUAGACCAAAUUAUACAAGGGUCAAAACUAUCAAAGAGAGAAAAUUUUAUUUAAUAAUAAAUACCAUAAAAAAAAAAUCA